AGUAUGAAAGCUAUCACCUCUAGUAAUAAACUACAACUACAAAACCUAUAAGCUACAAAUGGAACUACAAUCCAAGCAGACAACACAAUUUCGUUAAACUAACUUCAAAACCGAAAUACAAACAAGGCAAUCUCGUUCCAAAACAGUUACGUUCAAAUCCUUAUCAAUAUUAAAUUUUUUUUAACUUCAAUUAAUUUUUUAGAAGCUCUCAGGUCUCUU
Molecule: long non-coding RNA, 219 nt
Filed under: Brassica napus (rape)
Lineage: Eukaryota; Viridiplantae; Streptophyta; Magnoliopsida; Brassicales; Brassicaceae
Description: long non-coding RNA (BNAP_LNC012965)
Source: RNAcentral